RNAcentral lists this ribosomal RNA (253 nucleotides) under uncultured bacterium. RNAcentral's name for it is "partial 16S ribosomal RNA". It matches the Rfam family "Bacterial small subunit ribosomal RNA", at positions 524 to 776 of the family's 1533-position model. The record is from RNAcentral.
UACGGAGGGUGCAAGCGUUAAUCGGAAUUACUGGGCGUAAAGCGUGCGCAGGCGGUUUGUUAAGUCCGUUGUGAAAGCCCCGAGCUCAACUUGGGAAUUGCAGUGGAUACUGGCAGGCUGGAGUACGGUAGAGGAAGGUGGAAUUCCCGGUGUAGCAGUGAAAUGCGUAGAUAUCGGGAAGAACAUCAGUGGCGAAGGCGGCCUGCUGGGCUGUUGCUGACGCUGAGGCGCGACAGCGUGGGGAGCAAACAGG